AUAGCAUUUCGUUCGUCGGUCUACCGAGCAAUAUCACCCGCUCGGUGGAAGAUCUUCCCUUUGUCGU
RNAcentral lists this microRNA precursor (67 nucleotides) under Bombyx mori (domestic silkworm). Its description in RNAcentral is "mir-2774 microRNA precursor family". It matches the Rfam family "mir-2774 microRNA precursor family". The record is from Rfam by way of RNAcentral. Lineage: Eukaryota; Metazoa; Arthropoda; Insecta; Lepidoptera; Bombycidae.